Engraulis encrasicolus (European anchovy) is the source of this 209-nucleotide long non-coding RNA. RefSeq lists it as uncharacterized. NCBI's taxonomy places the organism in Eukaryota, Metazoa, Chordata, Actinopteri, Clupeiformes, Engraulidae. The record is from RefSeq and is a predicted model, not a curated record. The transcript is spliced from 3 exons.
AGAAACUCCAGUCGUGCUGUUGACUGCCUCACUUCAGUUUACCCAGCGCCAGUGUGUGUCAGACUUCAGUUUAUAUGCAGAUGUGCUGCUGCUACUGAAGGCAGUCGACCGGUGGAGGAAAACGUUUUUUGACAGGCAUGCUACAGAUGCUGUGACGGACACUGCAGUCACCUGUAGGAGGGGUCAAUCAAAUCAGAUCUCAAAAACAG